UACGUAGGGAGCGAGCGUUGUCCGAAGUUACUGGGCGUAAAGCGCGCGUAGGCGGGCCAUUAAGUGAGAGGUGAAGUUCCAGGGCUCAACCCCGGAACUGCCUCUCAUACUGUUGGUCUUGAGUGAGGUAGAGAGAAGUGGAAUGGCUGGUGUAGCGGUGAAAUGCGUAGAUAUCAGUCGGAACACCGGUGGCGAAGGCGGCUUCUUGGGCCUUUACUGACGCUGAGGCGCGAAAGCCAGGGGAGCGAACGGG
RNAcentral lists this ribosomal RNA (253 nucleotides) under uncultured bacterium. RNAcentral describes it as "partial 16S ribosomal RNA". It matches the Rfam family "Bacterial small subunit ribosomal RNA", at positions 524 to 776 of the family's 1533-position model. The record is from RNAcentral.